GGACUACCCGGGUAUCUAAUCCCGUUCGCUCCCCAUGCUGUCGCGUUUUAGCGUCAGGUACGGCCCAGCGUGUCGCCUUCGCCACUGGUGUUCCUCCGGAUCUCUACGCAUUUCACCACUACACCCGGAAUUCCACACGCCUCUACCGUCCUCUAGUCAACCAGUAUCCAACGACCUCUCGCGGUUUAGCCGCGAGCUUUCACGCCAGACUUAGUCGACCGCCUACACGCCCUUUACGCCCAGUAACUCCGGAUAACGUUUGUCUCCUACGUUUUACCGCGGCGGCUGGCAC
RNAcentral lists this ribosomal RNA (292 nucleotides) under uncultured bacterium. RNAcentral's name for it is "partial 16S ribosomal RNA". The record is from RNAcentral.